This 277-nucleotide unclassified non-coding RNA is filed under the name sea anemone metagenome. Its description in RNAcentral is "partial contains small subunit ribosomal RNA and internal transcribed spacer 1". The stretch from base 1 to 154 matches the Rfam family "Eukaryotic small subunit ribosomal RNA", at positions 1678 to 1831 of the family's 1831-position model. The record is from RNAcentral.
GCACCUACCGAUUGAAUGGUUCGGUGAAAAUCUCGGACUGCGGCUUGGAUGCCUUCGGGCAACCAAGCUGUGGAAAGUUGUUUAAACCUCAUCACUUAGAGGAAGGUGAAGUCGUAACAAGGUUUCCGUAGGUGAACCUGCAGAAGGAUCAAGAACGGAAGAGCGACGGGUAGGGAAAGAGAGUAGAUCGCGGGGGUCGCCGUACCAAUAAAAAAAAAAAAAAAUCAUGAACAGCAUCGUACUCAAGUGAAAUCAACAGUCACCACACUUGCUCCUC